Molecule: ribosomal RNA, 405 nt
Filed under: uncultured bacterium
Lineage: Bacteria
Description: bacterial SSU rRNA
Rfam family: Bacterial small subunit ribosomal RNA
Source: RNAcentral
UCGAGAAUAUUCGACAAUGGGCGAAAGCCUGAUCGAGCGACGCCGCGUGCAGGAAGAAGGCCUUCGGGUCGUAAACUGCUUUUGCGUGGGACGAAUUUUGACGGUACCACGAGAAUAAGGGGUUGCUAACUCUGUGCCAGCAGCAGCGGUAAUACAGAGACCCCGAGCGUUAUCCGGAAUUACUGGGCGUAAAGCGUGAGCAGCCGGUUGUAUUAGUCUGGUGUCAAACCAUGGGGCCCAACUCCAUGCCUGCAUUGGAAACGGUACAACUCGAGUGGGUAAGAGGGAGGCGGAACGUAUGGUGUAGGGGUGAAAUCCACUGAUAUCAUACGGAACACCAAAAGCGAAGGCAGCCUCCUAGUGCUCUACUGACGGUCAAUCACUAAAGCGUGGGGAUCAAAAAGG